Molecule: unclassified non-coding RNA, 218 nt
Filed under: fungal sp.
Lineage: Eukaryota; Fungi
Description: partial internal transcribed spacer region
Rfam family: Eukaryotic small subunit ribosomal RNA (bases 1-46)
Source: RNAcentral
AAGUCGUAACAAGGUCUCCGUUGGUGAACCAGCGGAGGGAUCAUUAUAGAGUUUUCUAAACUCCCAACCCAUGUGAACUUACCUUUUGUUGCCUCGGCAGAAGUUAUAGGUCUUCUUAUAGCUGCUGCCGGUGGACCAUUAAACUCUUGUUAUUUUAUGUAAUCUGAGCGUCUUAUUUUAAUAAGUCAAAACUUUCAACAACGGAUCUCUUGGCUCUG